Molecule: ribosomal RNA, 93 nt
Filed under: Herminiimonas sp.
Lineage: Bacteria; Pseudomonadati; Pseudomonadota; Betaproteobacteria; Burkholderiales; Oxalobacteraceae
Description: partial 16S ribosomal RNA
Source: RNAcentral
CAGGUAUUAAACUGAAGAGUUUGAUCCUGGCUCAGCUUCAAUGGUACCGGCAUGUGUUAGACAUCGAAGUCGUACGGCAGGACGCGCAGCAGC